AGCAACUGGCCACACAAGAGGAUAAGCGACGGCAAAACAAUCUAAAACUACGAGGGGUCGCAGAUUCUGUACCCGAGGCCGAGCUCCCACAUUAUGCUAGGCGGCUACUGACUGCACUCUUAACCCCGAAAGUGGCCAAAUCCAUACUAUUGGACGACAUCUUCCGUAUACCACGGCCAACUACAGCACCACCAGCUGCCACAGGGGACAUAAUCCUGCGUUUUCAAAGCGCGAGGGACAAGAGGGCUAUUCUAGAAGCCACCAAAGGCCUAACAACCUACACUUUUGAGGACAUGACUCUAUCGUUUUAUGCAGAUCUCUCAAGUGGAACGCUGAACUGGAGAAGAUCCCUCAGACAGCUUACAUCCUUCUUGAGGCAGAAACAACUCAGGUACCGCUGGGGUCCAGGGCGCGCACUACACAUAGAAGGCGCAAGCGGCCCUCUAGAGGUGCGGAACAUACAAGAGGCCACAAGGACACUGGAAGACAUGCAGCUGCCACUGACGGCACCAGACACCGCUAAUCCACUGGCUGGAACCACAAGCAGCCCAGGGAGGGGCGCAAUCUUUGUGCCACGACGGCCCCCAACAGGACCACGUGCGGCUCCCACAACCUGAAACAGAACAAACACUACCGGGACGCUUUCCCUCUCUUUUCUUUUACCGGGCAACAACCUGGCCCACUGCCCAACAGAUGAGAACACCCAUCCACAGCGAGAGUAAUCGAGACUGUCUGCUCGCAUUUUUAUUUUUCUUAGUGUUUUUUUUUUUUUUUAUUGAUGCUGACUCAUACUAAAUGUUUACCACACCUGUAUAGACACCCGUAUUUACAACACGUACCUAAACAACCAGAUCAGGCAGAGGCCGUUUAAAAUAUAUGCUUAAAUGCCUGACCCACCACCUUAAGCAUGGCAUAACCUUCCAGACAACAUUACAUAACAUGUCACUAUCGUGUUUUCCCAUAAAAAACUUCCGAACGUUGUCAUACAGUAGCAUCCACAAUAACGCCCCAGCCUGCACUUAAUAAAAGCUCAGCCUGCACUUACUAACGCCCCAGCCUGCAUUUAUAAGGCUCUUAGCCCAACCACGCACGAACGGUGUCCUUUUGAUAUGGCUGGCAGGAGCUUUGAGAGAGGCCCCACUUACCCCCACUCAUUUAGAAUAUAUUAAUUUCCAAACAGUAUAACAUAAGCACAAUCCUUUUUACAUCGCCCAUACGCUCACAACCCAUAAUGUUACAAUAUAAACAUGAGCUACACCUUUCACAUGCUGACUAAUUGUUAAUAAAUAUUGGGUAUCAUGCUGGUCAACACUGUUGGGACAUGACGAGCCCACCUGAUCUUUAUUUCCAUGCACACCAUAAUAUGAUAUUGCGCAUAGCUAAUACAUGUUUCUGCCUAUUGAGCAACGCCUGUCCUGGCGUCACUUUGAUAUGCCUGUUUUGUUCUCUUUCGGUAAAUUUCUUUUGUUAAAUCUUUUUGGUAAAAUCGUGAAUUUCUCACUCAAACAAAAACAAAGUGCAACGCAUAACAAAUAUGUCAC
Molecule: non-coding RNA, 1541 nt
Organism: Pelobates cultripes (western spadefoot toad)
Lineage: Eukaryota; Metazoa; Chordata; Amphibia; Anura; Pelobatidae
Source: the annotation of a GenBank genome assembly